UGGCUGGGGGUGAAAGGCCAAUCAAACCGGGAGAUAGCUGGUUCUCCCCGAAAGCUAUUUAGGUAGCGCCUCGUGAACUCAUCUUCGGGGGUAGAGCACUGUUUCGGCUAGGGGGUCAUCCCGACUUACCAACCCGAUGCAAACUACGAAUACCGAAGAAUGUUAUCACGGGAGACACACGGCGGGUGCUAACGUCCGUCGUGAAGAGGGAAACAACCCAGACCGCCAGCUAAGGUCCCAAAGUCAUGGUUAAGUGGGAAACGAUGUGGGAAGGCACAGACAGCCAGGAUGUUGGCUUAGAAGCAGCCAUCAUUUAAAGAAAGCGUAAUAGCUCACUGGUCGAGUCGGCCUGCGCGGAAGAUGUAACGGGGCUAAACCAUGCACCGAAGCUGCGGCAGCGACACUAUGUGUUGUUGGGUAGGGGAGCGUUCUGUAAGCCUGCGAAGGUGUGCUGUGAGGCAUGCUGGAGGUAUCAGAAGUGCGAAUGCUGACAUAAGUAACGAUAAAGCGGGUGAAAAGCCCGCUCGCCGGAAGACCAAGGGUUCCUGUCCAACGUUAAUCGGGGCAGGGUGAGUCGACCCCUAAGGCGAGGCCGAAAGGCGUAGUCGAUGGGAAACAGGUUAAUAUUCCUGUACUUGGUGUUACUGCGAAGGGGGGACGGAGAAGGCUAUGUUAGCCGGGCGACGGUUGUCCCGGUUUAAGCAUGUAGGCUGAUUGUCCAGGCAAAUCCGGAUAAUCAAGGCUGAGGUGUGAUGACGAGGCACUACGGUGCUGAAGUAACAAAUGCCCUGCUUCCAGGAAAAGCCUCUAAGCAUCAGGUAACAU
This 825-nucleotide ribosomal RNA is filed under the name Klebsiella pneumoniae. RNAcentral's name for it is "partial 23S ribosomal RNA". It matches the Rfam family "Bacterial large subunit ribosomal RNA", at positions 812 to 1637 of the family's 2925-position model. The record is from RNAcentral. Lineage: Bacteria; Pseudomonadati; Pseudomonadota; Gammaproteobacteria; Enterobacterales; Enterobacteriaceae.